RNAcentral lists this ribosomal RNA (251 nucleotides) under uncultured bacterium. RNAcentral's name for it is "partial 16S ribosomal RNA". It matches the Rfam family "Bacterial small subunit ribosomal RNA", at positions 524 to 776 of the family's 1533-position model. The record is from RNAcentral.
GACGGGGGGGGCAAGUGUUCUUCGGAAUGACUGGGCGUCAAGGGCACGUAGGCGGUGAAUCGGGUUGAAAGUGAAAGUCGCCAAAAAGUGGCGGAAUGCUCUCGAGACCAAUUCACUUGAGUGGGACAGAGGAGAGUGGAAUUUCGUGUGUAGGGGUGAAAUCCGUAGAUCUACGAAGGAAGGCCAAAAGCGAAGGCAGCUCUCUGGGUCCCUACCGACGCUGGGGUGCGAAAGCAUGGGGAGCGAACAGG